CAGAUUUGCUUGGAAGUAAUCUGUCAGCACAGCUGAAUGCAAACAUACCAAAGUACGUUUUCGAUCAUCAUAACAGAAAUGUAGUUAUCGAGAUCCAACAGAAGCAAAAUACUCAUGUUGGGAUAGCUUGACUGAAACUAUGUCCAAGAACGGUGAAAUUGAAAAGGUAGAAAACCAGAGAUAAAUGGGUUGCUUAAGGUAGCAAGAAACCUGACUAGCAGUAGCACUUCAGCUGAAACUGAUUCUAGACGGCAAUUAGCAUAUGAAGCAGCCUGUUGGAUCAGCUUCAUUUUCCAUCCUAGAGUGUCCUCCGGUAUUUUAUUUAGUAUGUUCUACAGUGAAAUUAUAGAAUUUGAAAGCCACAUUAAUUAAAUAUAAGCAGAAAAUUAAAUCAUUUCUACUGCUCGUCCCCCUUUCUCCUGGCUUGAUAAAAUGGGACAUAGUAGCGGGACGCACAAAAAAGAACGGUACAUACCGAAUGCUUCAGGAAUGAUGAUAUAUUACUUGUUAAUCUGUUUAGUGCUUCUAAAGGAUGUCUUCCACUUUUCAUGCUACUCAAUGCCAUGUCAACUUCAUUGUCUGCCCUCAUGAUCAGGAAGAACAGAAGAAGCGGAUGCAGAGUUAUUAAACAGGAAAUGUGACAACUUAUGGCAAAGUACAGAAAUUAAAUGAUGAAAACUGGAAAGCAGUCCUGUAGUUAUCAGGUUAUUUCAGCCAAUUAAAUGUUUCAUUAUGCUUGGUUAUUUUCGUUCUUACAUAUCUUUUUCUAAAUCUUCUGUGCUGCAACUUAGGAAAUACUUACCAAUAUUGUAGUUCAGAAGAGAUGUAAUUGCAAUCCGUGCACGAUCCGACAACGGGCUGGAAACCGACAGGAGCUGUUUUAUGUCUGAUUUCUCAAAUGAUGUUGCUUUUCCAGGGAAAAAAGGAAAAUAAAGUUAGGUAUCACAAAUUUUAUUCAUGCAACAGCAGAUUUAUUUGGAGAUAUACCUGGAUUAACCAGUACCAACACCAAAUCGAUGCAAGGAUUACGAGCAGCUACUGCAAGUGCUAUGCAUCCUCCAAAAGAAGUCCCCAAAAGGUAGAUGGGCUUAUUAGGUGAAGUGGCAUGCUCUGCUCUCACAACAUCCUCUACCAUUUCAACAAGUUCUGAAAAUGAAAAACAGCUAAAACCAUGCAAUCUGAGAACUUCACAUUAUCUGUUAUUCGCUCUAAAUAAUGAAAUAAGUUUAAAAAUUCAUGUAUGGAUGGAAAUACUUCAAACAGAAAUUAAUUCACAGAUAUGUUGAUACCUUCAAAUGGCGUGCGGUCGUGGAAGGGAAUGUGCAUACAUCUUAGUUCAAAAAUCCUGUGAAUUCAAAGACAACUUGUCUAGUAUUAUUACGGAAGUCGUAAAAAUUGAACCCAUGUAGUAUCAUUGUAAUCUAAAUUGCCUAUAAUCAACUCCUAUAAAAUUGUGAGCUCUCAUCAUAUUCUAAGAGAAGGCCUGAUAAAAAUUGCAGACAAGUGAAAGUAUCUAGAAGUGAUCUCACCUUCCAAGUGCCUUGUGGUGCAUGAAGAGCCCCAUCCCCAUACCAUCUACCCCUGAAAAGUUUCCAAUCCAAAUCAAAUCAAAUAAAGGCUAAGCUGCAGGACAAAACUAUUGAGGAUUCUACAACACAAACAUUCGGUAUAACUGUACCGGG
Molecule: long non-coding RNA, 1682 nt
Filed under: Oryza sativa (Asian cultivated rice)
Lineage: Eukaryota; Viridiplantae; Streptophyta; Magnoliopsida; Poales; Poaceae
Description: long non-coding RNA (OSAT_LNC000476)
Source: RNAcentral